ACCUCAAGUUAUUGGCCAAACUAUUCUGAUGUUGCUGCUGGAAGAUCGAUUUUAAAUCCUUCCACCAAGGAGAAUUGUCAACACUACCUCUACCAUGUAAUAAGGCCUGCCAUCCCCCAUAUAUAGACACUAAAGUUCUUGCCCAAAGCUGAUGGGGAUUAUUUGCCACCUGCCAACCCCAUUUGCCUAGUAAGGCUUCAUUGAACUUGUUCAAAUCUUUAAUACCCAAUCCGCCUCUGGCUUUUGAUAAACAGACUGUAUCCCAUUUAACC
This 272-nucleotide unclassified non-coding RNA is filed under the name uncultured bacterium. Its description in RNAcentral is "contains 16S-23S intergenic spacer region". The record is from RNAcentral.